Molecule: ribosomal RNA, 1402 nt
Filed under: Listeria monocytogenes
Lineage: Bacteria; Bacillati; Bacillota; Bacilli; Caryophanales; Listeriaceae
Description: bacterial LSU rRNA
Rfam family: Bacterial large subunit ribosomal RNA
Source: RNAcentral
UUGGUUAAGUUAGAAAGGGCGCACGGUGGAUGCCUUGGCACUAGGAGCCGAAGAAGGACGGGACUAACACCGAUAUGCUUUGGGGAGCUGUACGUAAGCGUUGAUCCAGAGAUUUCCGAAUGGGGGAACCCACUAUCUUUAGUCGGAUAGUAUCCUUACGUGAAUACAUAGCGUGAGGAAGGCAGACCCAGGGAACUGAAACAUCUAAGUACCUGGAGGAAGAGAAAGAAAAAUCGAUUUCCUGAGUAGCGGCGAGCGAAACGGAAAGAGCCCAAACCAAGAAGCUUGCUUCUUGGGGUUGUAGGACACUCUAUACGGAGUUACAAAAGAAAGUUAUAAAUGAAGCGGUCUGGAAAGGCCCGCCAAAGACGGUAACAGCCCGGUAGUUGAAAUGGCUUUCCCUCCAGAGUGGAUCCUGAGUACGGCGGAACACGUGAAAUUCCGUCGGAAUCCGGGAGGACCAUCUCCCAAGGCUAAAUACUCCCUAGUGACCGAUAGUGAACCAGUACCGUGAGGGAAAGGUGAAAAGCACCCCGGAAGGGGAGUGAAACAGUUCCUGAAACCGUGUGCCUACAAGUAGUUAGAGCCCGUUAAUGGGUGAUAGCGUGCCUUUUGUAGAAUGAACCGGCGAGUUACGAUUUGUUGCAAGGUUAAGCGGAAAAAGCGGAGCCGUAGCGAAAGCGAGUCUGAAUAGGGCGCAUAAGUAACAGGUCGUAGACCCGAAACCAGGUGAUCUACCCAUGUCCAGGAUGAAGGUAAGGUAAUACUUACUGGAGGUCCGAACCCACGCACGUUGAAAAGUGCGGGGAUGAGGUGUGGGUAGCGGAGAAAUUCCAAUCGAACUUGGAGAUAGCUGGUUCUCUCCGAAAUAGCUUUAGGGCUAGCCUCGAGGUAAAGAGUCAUGGAGGUAGAGCACUGUUUGGACUAGGGGCCCUUCUCGGGUUACCGAAUUCAGAUAAACUCCGAAUGCCAUGUACUUAUACUCGGGAGUCAGACUGCGAGUGAUAAGAUCCGUAGUCGAAAGGGAAACAGCCCAGACCACCAGUUAAGGUCCCCAAAUAUAUGUUAAGUGGAAAAGGAUGUGGGGUUGCUUAGACAACCAGGAUGUUGGCUUAGAAGCAGCCACCAUUGAAAGAGUGCGUAAUAGCUCACUGGUCGAGUGACCCCGCGCCGAAAAUGUACCGGGGCUAAACAUAUUACCGAAACUGUGGAUGAACCUCUUUAGAGGUUCGUGGUAGGAGAGCGUUCUAAGGGCGGUGAAGUCAGACCGGAAGGACUGGUGGAGCGCUUAGAAGUGAGAAUGCCGGUAUGAGUAGCGAAAGAAGGGUGAGAAUCCCUUCCACCGAAUAUCUAAGGUUUCCUGAGGAAGGCUCGUCCGCUCAGGGUUAGUCGGGACCUAAGC